AUUGAACGCUGGCGGCAGGCCUAACACAUGCAAGUCGAGCGGAUGAAGGGAGCUUGCUCCUGGAUUCAGCGGCGGACGGGUGAGUAAUGCCUAGGAAUCUGCCUGGUAGUGGGGGAUAACGUCCGGAAACGGGCGCUAAUACCGCAUACGUCCUGAGGGAGAAAGUGGGGGAUCUUCGGACCUCACGCUAUCAGAUGAGCCUAGGUCGGAUUAGCUAGUUGGUGGGGUAAAGGCCUACCAAGGCGACGAUCCGUAACUGGUCUGAGAGGAUGAUCAGUCACACUGGAACUGAGACACGGUCCAGACUCCUACGGGACGCAGCAGUGGGGAAUAUUGGACAAUGGGCGAAAGCCUGAUCCAGCCAUGCCGCGUGUGUGAAGAAGGUCUUCGGAUUGUAAAGCACUUUAAGUUGGGAGGAAGGGCAGUAAGUUAAUACCUUGCUGUUUUGACGUUACCAACAGAAUAAGCACCGGCUAACUUCGUG
Molecule: ribosomal RNA, 484 nt
Filed under: uncultured bacterium
Lineage: Bacteria
Description: partial 16S ribosomal RNA
Rfam family: Bacterial small subunit ribosomal RNA
Source: RNAcentral